Molecule: ribosomal RNA, 513 nt
Filed under: Triticum aestivum (bread wheat)
Lineage: Eukaryota; Viridiplantae; Streptophyta; Magnoliopsida; Poales; Poaceae
Description: partial small subunit ribosomal RNA
Source: RNAcentral
AUGAUUCGGUGUUUGGCCCCCCUCCCCGAGGGUUUGGAAAAUCCAGUAUUGGAGAAGAUGCUCGAGGUCACACCUUGCCCGGAGCCCUUGAAGGAAGAUACCGAGGGAGACAAUACGGGCGGACGCGGGCCCCCAUCGCUAUCCGCUCCAACCGAGGGAACGAGCGUCUCCAUGAAGGAGGACGAUCGGGGGAGGAAAAGGACUGCUUCCGAGGAUCCAGAAGCCGAAGCCUCCAAACGGGAGGAGAGGUCUCCCACUGAGGGUCCUGCCUUGGGGGGUGCCUUUGCCGCACAGAGUCCACGGGGGGAUCAGCCCUCCAACGAGUGUUCGGGCCUCAGCCCCUCUCAAAUGAGCUCGUCUUCAGGGGAUCUUCUUCCAGAGAUGAUGGAGAGCGAAACGCCUCCCCCGGACUCCUCCGCUCCAGAAGCGGGCGACCCCAAAGUGUCGUCGCGGAGGGCCUCUCCGGAUCCGGUGAGGCUAGAAGAUAAUCCCGUAGACCCCCAAAGUCCCUAG